Molecule: long non-coding RNA, 2353 nt
Filed under: Salvia miltiorrhiza (redroot sage)
Lineage: Eukaryota; Viridiplantae; Streptophyta; Magnoliopsida; Lamiales; Lamiaceae
Description: long non-coding RNA (SMIL_LNC007552)
Source: RNAcentral
GAUACAAUUGGAAGCUCAUUUGAAGAUAGUCUUUCUUCUGAUGAUGAUAAACCAAUAUCAGGUAUCACAUCCACUGUUAUAAAUAGAUACUUAAUAUUAAUUGCAAAUUCAUUUAAUAUAACUAUAUUGCUUCUCCAUCACAAAAAUCUUCAGGGGUAAAAAAAAUUUGCUCUAUUGUUCUAUCCGAUGAUUCAAGAAAUGAUAGUCUGAAUUGUGUAGUGGAAUCGGCUAGAAAGAGGUGUNAUAAACCAAUAUCAGGUAUCACAUCCACGGUUAUAAAUAGAUACUUGAUAUUGCAAAUUCAUUUAAUAUAAUCAUAUUGCUUCUCCAUCACAGAAAUCUUCAGGGGUAAAAAGAAAAUUUGCUCUAUUGUUCUAUCCGAAGAGUCAAGAAAUGACAGUAUGAAUUGUGUAGUGGAAUCGGCUAAAAGAGGUGUGUCACCAAAAUUUAGAAAUUAUUUUUAAAAGAAUCUAGGUUUGACAUUGUGAUUUUUUUUUUUUUACAUAUAUAAUAACAAAAUUUUAUGUGAUGAAAAAAUGCACGCACACCCAAUAAGAAAUUUUCUAGGUUUAAUUUUCAUAUUUUAUUCAUCUAAGAAAUCGAGUUCAAUACAUAUUCUAUAUCAGGUAACAUUGGAAAAAUCAAAAGAAGAUUUGUUAGCAAAAGAAAAAAAGUUGUACACUUUGAUCUUUCUGAAGAUUCAGGUAUUCAAUUAUUAUUACAAGAUUUAGUAGAUUUUGCUAAAGAUUUUCAUGAUAUGUUUUCCACCAGAAAAUGAUAAUCAUGGCUUAGUGAAAAUGAGGAUUAUUCUUAUCACUUUGGAUAGAUCGAUGUUGGUGAAACUUUCAAUAUUCUUUUCCAUGAGUAGUGAAUUUUUGACUUUUUUAUUGCAAUGGAGAAAUUGUAUAACUAAUAUAAGAAUAAUGAUUGAUCUAACAAUAUUUAUGUUGGUUUUGUAAUGUUAGAUAAUGAUGAUACGAUUGAGAAUUUUGAUGAUGCACAUUUGGAUAAGCCUCUAUCAGGUAAUAGUUAGACAUGAUAGAUAGUAUUUUAAAUCUUCUAGAAUUUAUUAAUCGAGCAAAUGAUGAAAUAUUAUUGUGUCAUUGUUAGAAAUUUUAAAAAUACAAAAGAAAGCUAAAAACAUUAGCAUGACGUCAUAAGGUCAGGUAAACAUGAAGAUCAAAGAUCCUCAAGCAUGCACAUCUAAACAUUCUAAUUUUAAAUUGAUAUCGCUUAUGCUAAUCUAUUCAUGUUUUGAACUACCAUUAAUUUGUUACUAUUGUGUAAUUACCAUGAAAUCUAAACCAAUAGACAUAUGUACCGGUUACUUGCUUAGCUCCAACUACUUAUAAAACGUAUACAAAUAUAAUUUAUAAGCAACUUUAUUUUUAGAUGAAUUUGUGGAGAGAGUAACUGAUAGCAAACUUGUUGAAGAUUCUCAUAUGGAGUCAUGUCUACCUUUGGCAGGUAAAUUAUUCAACCAAUUAGAUAAAUUUUCGUUUCUAAUAUUCUUCGUUGUUAACAAUAUUAACUCAAUCAUUUAGGCACACUAUACCGGGAGAAACAGGACCUUGUGGCAUAAACAUCAAAGAAGACUAAAAUAACUCAAGCUAAGGACAAACAUGUAGCUAAGGGUACAAAACUGAAAAACUAGAGAAAAACUAUUGUCAUUAUAUAGACACUUAAUCUUUGAAGUGUGUUCUUGUAUGAUUGAUGGGAGUUUCUGUGCAACAUUAUCAGCAAAGAAGGCGAAGAAAAUGAAGUCUAAUAUCUUAAAAGACAAGAUACAAAGCUAGCAUAUCUGAUUCAUCCCACCAACUUACUGAAGUGGUUGUCGAGCAUAAUAAAGGUUAGUAUUCUACAUGAGGCAACGGUGUUAAUAGUUCUAAAUCAAAUCAUCAAUGAUAUAGGAUAUUAUGCAAAUACAUUAUGUUUGUCAUUAACUAAUUUUAUUAAUAUUAUCAUCAACUUUUAGGCAAAGGAGUCCCACAAACACCAACACUCAAGUCAAGGAGUGGCAGAACAAUCAAGCGAAGAAUAUUGGACUAAUGAAGUGAAAGAUUUUAUGAGACUUUGAAGCAACUUCUGUAUGUACUUUGACUUUUGCCUCUAUUACACCGCGUCGGUCACAUUCUACUAUAUUUUGAGGUUACCUUUUGCAUGUACAUUGUAUAUGCCUCGAUGUAGUUUUUAGCUUAAUGCGAUAUGUAUAUAUAACGCGUAAUGUCUAAAAGGAUAGUUAAAUAGGUUAUAUAUAAAUUGUAUUGUGUAGAUUGUUGCUCCUAGCUGUACAAAUUAAAUACUCUUUGCUGUAUUACAACUGUGACCUACAAGUCAUAGUAUAAUAUGUCUA